This 747-nucleotide long non-coding RNA is filed under the name Homo sapiens (human). RNAcentral's name for it is "non-protein coding lnc-PDE10A-1:4". The record is from RNAcentral. Lineage: Eukaryota; Metazoa; Chordata; Mammalia; Primates; Hominidae.
AACAAUUUUACACUGUUGGCAGGAAUAUAAAUUAUUUCAACCAUUGUGGAAGAUGGUGUGGCGAUUCCAGCAUCAGGUUGUACUGACACUGGAGAUAAAAGUCUAUUCCUUUUACUAUAUUAAAAUCCUUAAUUAUUUGAAGACAGCAUUAAGCUGAACAUCACCAGUUUCUUUAACCUUUCCCUCAUCCUGUUUGCUCACACCUGGACCUAUGUGAGUUGGCCAGUGCCCUCCCACAGUAAGCCAACAGACCCUGCCACAGUUCUGGGAGUGCAUGUUUGAAAUGAAAAUGGAAAUUAGCCCAGGCACGGUGGCUCACGCCUGCAAUCCCAGCACUCUGGGAGGCUGAGGCAGGUGGAUCAUUUGAGGUAAGGAAUUUGAGACCAGCCUUCCCAACAUGGUGAAACCUCGUCUCUACUAAAAACACAAAAAUUUACCGGGUGUGGUGGCAGGUGCCUGUAAUCCCAGUUACUUGAGAGGCUGAAAAGAGAAUCACUUGAGCCCAGGAGGUGGCGGCUACAGUGAGGCGAGAUCAUGUCACUGCACUCCAGCCUGGCCGAUAGAGCAACUGCUCUCAAAAAGAAAAAAAAAAAAAAGAAAGGAAGAAAGAAAGAAAAAAAAGAAAAUGAAAAUUAAUGGGAAAAUGUGGCUGUGUAUAAACUUUCACUGACAGACACAUUUUCUGACAGAGCCACGUGGUGAUGUGCAGAGAGGAUUUGGAUGAAGAGGAGCUGCUGGAAGCUGUGG